This 2179-nucleotide ribosomal RNA is filed under the name human gut metagenome. RNAcentral's name for it is "bacterial LSU rRNA". It matches the Rfam family "Bacterial large subunit ribosomal RNA", at positions 1 to 2004 of the family's 2925-position model. The record is from RNAcentral.
UUUAGUUUUUGUGGGCAUUCGGUGGAUGCCUUGGUACCAAGAGCUGAUGAAGGACGUGGCGGCCUGCGAUAAUCCUUGGGGAGUUGGCGAGCGAGCGUUGAUCUGAGGGUGUCCGAAUGGGGGAACCUGGCUGGGGUUGUGCCUGGUCACUAUCAUCUGAAUUCAUAGGGUGGUAGGGGGAACGCGGGGAAGUGAAACAUCUUAGUACCCGUAGGAGAAGAUAUUUCGUCAGUAGUGGUGAGCGAAAGCGGAUGAUGGCUAAACCGUGUGCGUGUGUGACUCGGCGGGGGUUGCGUGUGCGGGGUUGUGGGGCUCUUUUUUCUCAUCUUCUGCCGGGGGUGGGGGUGUGUGCGUGUGCGUGUGGUGAACAUCUUGGGAUGGGUGACCGUAGUGCGUGAUAGUCGUGUAGCUGUGUGUGUGCGUGUGUGCUGAAGGGGUGCCCGAGUAGUGCGGGGCUCGUGGAAUCUCGUGUGAAUCUGCCAGGACCACCUGGUAAGCCUGAAUACUUUUUGGUGACCGAUAGUGCAUAGUACCGUGAGGGAAUGGUGAAAAGUACCCCGGGAGGGGAGUGAAAUAGUGCCUGAAACCGGGUGCCUGUAAGCCGUCAGAGCCUGCUUUUGUUGGGUGAUGGCGUGCCUUUUGAAGAAUGAGCCUGCGAGUCAGUGAUGCGUGGCGUGCUUAACCCGUGUGGGGGAUGCGUAGCGAAAGCGAGUCUUAAUUUUGGGCGUGUGUCGCGUGUUGUGGACCCGAAGCGGGGUGAUCUACCUAUGGUCAGGGUGAAGCUAUGGUAAGACGUGGUGGAGGCCCGUACCCACCAGGGUUGAAAACCUGGGGGAUGAACUGUGGGUAGGGGUGAAAGGCCAAUCAAACUCCGUGAUAGCUGGUUCUCCCCGAAAUGCAUUUAGGUGCAGCGUCACACUGGGCUUGGUGGAGGUAGAGCUACUGGUUGGUUGAUGGGCCGUGUUGGUUACUGACGUCAGCUAAACUCCGAAUGCCAUUUCAAGUGGGUGUGGCAGUGAGACUGCGGGGGAUAAGCUUCGUGGUCGAGAGGGAAACAGCCCAGAUCAUCGGCUAAGGCCCCUAAGCGUGCGCUGAGUGGGAAAGGAUGUGGAGUCGCGUUGACAGCCAGGAGGUUGGCUUAGAAGCAGCCAUCCUUGAAAGAGUGCGUAAUAGCUCACUGGUCGAGUGGUUGUGCGCCGAUAAUGUAGCGGGGCUUAAGCGUGCCGCCGAAGCCGUGGCAAUAGCAAUUUUUUUUGUUGUUUUUGGGUAGGGGAGCGUCCUGCUCUGGGUGAAGCUGCCUGGUGAUGGGUGGUGGACGGGGUGGGAGUGAGAAUGCAGGCAUGAGUAGCGUUUCGUGGGUGAGAAUCCUACGCGCUGAUUGACUAAGGGUUCCAGGGGCAGGUUUGUCCGCCCUGGGUUAGUCGGGUCCUAAGGCGAGGCCGACAGGCGUAGUCGAUGGGUGACCAGUUGAUAUUCUGGUACCGUUUGUUUUCCGUCUAACGCUGCAUGCUUUCGCGUCGUGUGCUUGCCGUGCGUGGUGUUGUCUUUCGGGAUGAUGCUGAGUGUGGCUGUGUGUGGUGUGGGGUGUGUGGUGAGCAUUGGGGUGACGCAGGGAGGUAGUUGCUGCACACUGGUGGUUAUGUGUGUCUAAGGUUGUGGCCUGUUUCUUGGGUGAAAUCCGGGAAGCUGCGUUUGAUCGCGUGGGUGAGGGCUGAUGGGGCUGCCUGUUGGGGUGGCUAGUGGUGAUCCUGUACUGCCGAGAAAAGCCUGGAUGUGAGGAAGAUGAGCGCCCGUACCCUAAACCGACUCUGGUGGUCAGGUAGAGUAUACCGAGGCGUGCGAGUGAAUCAUGGUUAAGGAAUUCGGCAAAUUGCCCCCGUAACUUUGGGAUAAGGGGGGCCCUGCUGGUGUGCCUGCUUUUGCGUGGGUGGUGCUGGUUGGGGUCGCAGAGAAUUGGGAGAAGCGACUGUUUAUUAAAAACAUAGGUGUGUGCUAAGCCGUAAGGCGCUGUAUACGCACUGACGCCUGCCCGGUGCUGGAAGGUUAAGAGGACGACUUAACUGCUUUUUUGUGGUGAAGGUUUGAAUUUAAGCCCCAGUAAACGGCGGUGGUAACUAUAACCAUCCUAAGGUAGCGAAAUUCCUUGUCGGGUAAGUUCCGACCUGCACGAAUGGCGUAA